UAUUUAAAUAGUUUAGAUUAAAAAUUUUAAAUAGAAUUAGUAAGAGGGUUAGAAGAAUGUUAAAAUAAAUUGUACUGAAAAGGGUGUUUAAAAAAUUAAUGUAUAGUAAAUAUUAAUAAUUGUAUCUUUUGUAUAAUGGGUUGAUAAUAUUAAUAAGUAAAUAUUAGGUUCUCGAAAUAGGAAGAUUUAUUUAUUAUAUUGGUUUGUUAACGUGGUAAAGUUAUAUAUUUAAUAAUAAAUGGUAGUGAAAUGCUAUUCGAUUUUUAUGGUAGCUAGUUUAUUAUAUAGACAUUUGAGUGUGUAUUAUAAUUAAAAUUAUAAAUAAUAAUUGGUUUUGAUAUAAAUUUGGGGGAAAAGCUUCUUGUAAAGUGUGGUGAGAAUUAAAUUUAAUAAAAUAAUUUAGUUUAAGUGAAAUUAAGAGUUUAUCUUAUAAUUAAAAAUAACUUGUAUUUAUUAAUUUUUCUUUAUUUGAGGAUUAAUAAAUUAUUUAUAAUAAUUGAGUAAAUUAUAUAUAAUGUUAAUAUGAGUAUUUCAGUGAAUAUAAAAUAUAUAUAGUUAUAAAGAUAUUAAAUAAAUUUAUCUGGUGAUGUAAUAAUAUUAUUUUAGUUUAAGAUAAUUAAAUAUAGUAAAGGAAUUUAGCAAAUAUUAAUUUCGCCUGUUUAUCAAAAACAUGUCUCUUUGAUUAGAUAUAAUAAAGAGUUGGGCCUGCUCGGUGAUAUUUUUAACAGCUGCGGUAUUAUAACUGUACUAAGGUAGCAUAAUAAUUUGCCUUAUAAAUUAAGGCUAGAAUGAAUGGUUUGACGAAAAUUAAUCUGUCUCUAUUAUAAUUAUUAGAAGUUAAUGUUUAUAGUGAAAAAGCUUAAAUUAUUUAAAGGGACGAGAAGACCCUAUUGAGCUUGAUAUUAAAAUAUAAAUUUUUUUUUAAAGUUAAUAUAAAUUAUGUUUAUGGGUUUUAAAUUUUGAUUGGGGUGAUCAAGGAAUAAAAAAGAUUAAUGUAUAUAUAUUAACUUCCUUAUAUAUAAAUAUUUAUAGAUAAAUAAACCGAGAGUUUUGCUUAAAAGUAAGUUACCAUAGGGAUAACAGCGUAAUUUUUUUAGAGAGUUCUUAUUAAAAAAAAAGAUUGCGACCUCGAUGUUGGAUUAAAAUUACCUUUGGGUGCAGAAGCUCAGAUAGGUGAAUCUGUUCGAUUUUUAAAAUUUUACAUGAUCUGAGUUCAAACCGGUGAAAGCCAGGUUGGUUUCUAUCUUUUAAAUUUAUUUGUUAUUUUAUUUAGUACGAAAGGAUUGAUAUUAAUUAAUAGAUUAUUAAAUAUAUUUAAAAUAUAAAGUUGGCAGAAAAUA
RNAcentral lists this ribosomal RNA (1340 nucleotides) under Eledone cirrhosa (curled octopus). RNAcentral describes it as "16S ribosomal RNA". The stretch from base 1076 to 1235 matches the Rfam family "Bacterial large subunit ribosomal RNA", at positions 2473 to 2632 of the family's 2925-position model. The record is from RNAcentral. Lineage: Eukaryota; Metazoa; Mollusca; Cephalopoda; Octopoda; Eledonidae.